Molecule: ribosomal RNA, 465 nt
Filed under: uncultured bacterium
Lineage: Bacteria
Description: partial 16S ribosomal RNA
Rfam family: Bacterial small subunit ribosomal RNA
Source: RNAcentral
GACGAACGCUGGCGGCGUGCUUAACACAUGCAAGUCGAACGGAAAGGCCCCUUUGGGGGUCACCGAGUGGCGAACGGGUGAGUAACACGUGAGUAACCUUCCCUUUGCUUCGGGAUAAAUUCAGGAAAAUGGGGCUAAUACCGGAUAGGAAUCCUUGCUGCAUGGUGGGGGUUGGAAAGCUUCGGCGGUUUUGGAUGGACUCGCGGCUUAUCAGCUUGUUGGUGGGGUAGUGGCUUACCAAGGCUUUGACGGGUAGCCGGCCUGAGAGGGCGACCGGCCACAUUGGGACUGAGAUACGGCCCAGACUCCUACGGGAGGCAGCAGUGGGGAAUAUUGCACAAUGGGCGGAAGCCUGAUGCAGCAACGCCGCGUGCGGGAUGACGGCCUUCGGGUUGUAAACCGCUUUCAGCAGGGGCGAAGCUUGUGGUGACGGUACCUGCAGAAGAAGCACCGGCUAACUACGUG